GAACAGUUUCAUAUGUCUGUGGAAAGGCAUUAGCCAAUACUUCUGGGGCUGGUUGUGUGCUCAGUUUGGCUGCCUUCCAGAACUUACGCUGACACUUCUGGUGUGACUCAGGCGGACAGACUCACUGUGCUACAGGGAAGUCAAGCACAGCCCUGUGUUUGAGGGUCUGGCUUUACCCAGCACAACUUGAGUCUACCAAUACAAGGAAGGAAGGUGGCACCAGCAGCUAUCUCUGCGCCAGCGUCACUGGAGAAACAGUUGAAGCAUUUCUGAUGAUGAAGUUUGGACGGCAGAGGCAGAGUCACAACAGGAAGGCGGGACCAGGCCAAUCCGGGACUUUUAGGAUGGGAGUGGACCGGCUUACUCAAGAAGAGUCCCUUAACUUGGACUUUAUGAAGAUGUCAUAUGUAAUUAUCGGAACGACUAGCUGAAUUGUCUGAGGACCUCCCCAGCCCGCCCUCUGACACCCCUCGAAUCGGGAAGAAGUCACAACUUGUGUUAAAGAAGAGUGCACGCCAGUUGCACGUGGCACAGAGAACCCCUCCUGAACACCCCGUCUUUUCUUCCUGAUUCUUGUGCUGGAUUGUGCGAUAGCUCAGAGUAUGUCCUGGAGGAGCAAGCCUUGUGCCACCUGGUUUCUCCAGGAUGCCUGACCUCUAGUGAUGCCCUGACAGAUGUGGCAAUGGAUAUUUGACACAUUUUUCUCUAAGGAACUGACAUUGGUACCUGCCUUCUUAGCAGGUGCUCAGAAACUCUUGUUAUACCAUGAGAGAGUGGAAUUUCAGUGCUUUGUUGGAGUUUGUUUCUCUUUCUAAAUAUCCUUGGGGGCAAUGCCCUAAGACAUCCUCAAUAACAACAUCACACCUCUCCUGGGGAUCACUGGCUAGCACAUUGACAUCUAUCGAGAUAAGGCAAGCGCAGGGAAGAGCUGAGCAACCUGAGGCUUUGCUUAGUUUGGGCUAUGUACACCUCCCUUUAAUAAUGCACUUGGCGGCCCAGAUUCUUUAGAUUCACAUACCUCGUUCACAACCUUUUCUGAACAAUACACUCAGCAGUCUUGAACCCUCACCUGUAUAGGUUUGCAUGUACAAUUCCCUCUGGAUACUGGAAUAGGUUUCUCCUCCCCAAAUGGCCUUCAACCUUGGACAAUGUCUAUUCAAAUGUAUCCCUAGUGCAUCCUGUCCUACUAAGAGGAGGAGGGUUAAUACACUGUGGAUGAAUUCUGGGUACACAGGCAGUGAGGCAAAACAGGAUUCUCAAGUGGACUUUUAGGGAGAAUUCCCUAUUUAUCAUCUUCUGUCUAUGUGUAAUUGGUGUGCAUAUAAUUAAAAUCAGGUGCAUUACGGCAAGGAACAUGUGUACUAGAAAAACGAUUGCAUGACCUCAUCUAUAAUCCAAACAGAGAACCACCUUCAUUAUGUGCCUUAAAAACCAAACUCUUCCUCUUGAGCCCCAUAAGAGAAUGCACUAAACAAUAGUCAGGGCCCUCGCGUACGCUCACGCAUGCAGCCAGCUGUCAAUCUUGAGAAUGCACCCUCUCUAAUCUACAGCAUUGCUUUGCUGUGAAUAAAGUCACCUUGCUACCUCUGCAUGAGCCCUCGUUUCAUUUUGGAUAAGAUGCCAAGAGCCUGGAAGACCAGCUUAGACCUCAAACAGUGGCAUGGCUGUCACUUCAUCUCCACUUCCCUUCCAAGGACAUUUUCUCAGUGAAGCUUAGCUGCAGUCAGAAGGGCAGCUAGUCACUGUGGCUCCUUCUUGGCGUUUUCCUCAGAGACAUUAUUUCCUACGAGACAACAUGGAGACUUAACUUUCUCUCACUGUCCUCCGCUGUACCUGUCGUGUUUGCUCUCUUCCUUGGCCUCCACCCUCCACAUAUGGACAUAGUGGUACGUGAGUGGUGUGGUGAUGGUGAUCCGUGACUGCAUGGUUGUGAUUCUGCAAACACUCGUCCAAUUACGAGAGCCUUGAUAACAGUUCCUUCUCAGCACGGCUCUUUAUCUUUCCUAGAAGCAAUAAUGUGUAAACAAGUUCCAUAUUUGCUGAGUCUUCUUUGUGCUUCUACCAGGCAUAAUUGAAAACGGCGGCGGCUUGUGGACCAAACAUAGCUUCUGUGAGUGAAUCCCAUUGAAAUGCAUGGAACUCCUCUGUUUGUACACUGUCUCCAUGCAUUUUCUCUGUGAGACAGACGAGCUAGGCUGUCUGAUGAAGACUGAUAAACCAAAAUGUUUAUUAUCUGGCCUUUUAUAGGUGAAACUGGUCUUCUUUAAGCUUUUGCAAUCCAGUCUCAAAUCCCCACAUGUUCAGGAUCUUUUCACAAGGCCUUCAGAAGCAGUCAACUCUCUCUUGACUUCUGCCUUGAGUCAGGCUCCUUUGAAACAACCUGAAUUAGUUUCUGCCCUUUUGACUUAUAGAGAUUGCCACAAUUAUUUGUUUGCUUUGUGUGUGUGUGUGUGUGUGUGUGUGUGUGUGUGUAUGCCA
Non-coding RNA from Myodes glareolus (Bank vole), 2478 nucleotides. NCBI's taxonomy places the organism in Eukaryota, Metazoa, Chordata, Mammalia, Rodentia, Cricetidae. The record is from RefSeq and is a predicted model, not a curated record.